AAACUAACAAGGAUUCCCCUAGUAGCGGCGAGCGAAGCGGGAAGAGCUCAAAUUUAUAAUCUGGCACCUUCGGUGUCCGAGUUGUAAUCUCUAGAAGUGUUUUCCGCGUUGGACCGCACACAAGUCUGUUGGAAUACAGCGGCAUAGUGGUGAAACCCCCGUAUAUGGUGCGGACGCCCAGCGCUUUGUGAUACACUUUCAAUGAGUCGAGUUGUUUGGGAAUGCAGCUCAAAUUGGGUGGUAAAUUCCAUCUAAAGCUAAAUAUUGGCGAGAGACCGAUAGCGAACAAGUACCGUGAGGGAAAGAUGAAAAGCACUUUGGAAAGAGAGUUAACAGUACGUGAAAUUGUUGGAAGGGAAACGCUUGAAGUCAGACUUGCUUGCCGGAGCUUGCUUCGGUUUGCAGGCCAGCAUCAGUUUUCCGGGGUGGAUAAUGACGGUUUGAAGGUAGCAGUCUCGGCUGUGUUAUAGCUUUCCGUUGGAUACAUCCUGGGGGACUGAGGAACGCAGCGUGCUUUUUGCGAAAGACUCGUC
This 533-nucleotide ribosomal RNA is filed under the name Rhodotorula glutinis. RNAcentral's name for it is "eukaryotic LSU rRNA". It matches the Rfam family "Eukaryotic large subunit ribosomal RNA", at positions 62 to 599 of the family's 3401-position model. Lineage: Eukaryota; Fungi; Basidiomycota; Microbotryomycetes; Sporidiobolales; Sporidiobolaceae. The record is from RNAcentral. RNAcentral also lists the same sequence under 1 other name.